AUUGAACGCUGGCGGCAUGCUUUACACAUGCAAGUCGAACGGCAGCGCGGGCUUCGGCCUGGCGGCGAGUGGCGAACGGGUGAGUAAUGCAUCGGAACGUGCCCUGUCGUGGGGGAUAGCCCGGCGAAAGCCGGAUUAAUACCGCAUACGACCUGAGGGUGAAAGCGGGGGACCGAAAGGCCUCGCGCCAUUGGAGCGGCCGAUGUCGGAUUAGCUAGUUGGUGGGGUAAAGGCUUACCAAGGCGACGAUCCGUAGCUGGUCUGAGAGGACGACCAGCCACACUGGGACUGAGGCACGGCCCAGACUCCGACGGGAGGCAGCAGUGGGGAAUUUUGGGCGAUGGGGGCAACCCUGAUCCAGCCAUGCCGCGUGCGGGAAGAAGGCCUUCGGGUUGUAAACCGCUUUUGUUCGGGAAGAAAUCCUCUGGGCUAAUACCCCGGGGGGAUGACGGUACCGGAAGAAUAAGCACCGGCUAACUACGUG
Molecule: ribosomal RNA, 484 nt
Filed under: uncultured bacterium
Lineage: Bacteria
Description: partial 16S ribosomal RNA
Rfam family: Bacterial small subunit ribosomal RNA
Source: RNAcentral